This 301-nucleotide ribosomal RNA is filed under the name uncultured bacterium. Its description in RNAcentral is "partial 16S ribosomal RNA". It matches the Rfam family "Bacterial small subunit ribosomal RNA", at positions 509 to 807 of the family's 1533-position model. The record is from RNAcentral.
CAGUAGCCACGGGAAUACGUAGGUGGCAAGCGUUGUCCGGAAUUAUUGGGCGUAAAGGGCUCGCAGGCGGUUUCUUAAGUCUGAUGUGAAAGCCCCCGGCUCAACCGGGGAGGGUCAUUGGAAACUGGGAAACUUGAGUGCAGAAGAGGAGAGUGGAAUUCCACGUGUAGCGGUGAAAUGCGUAGAGAUGUGGAGGAACACCAGUGGCGAAGGCGACUCUCUGGUCUGUAACUGGCGCUGAGGAGCGAAAGCGUGGGGAGCGAACAGGAUUAGAUACCCCUGUAGUCCCUGUCUCUUAUAC